This 441-nucleotide ribosomal RNA is filed under the name uncultured bacterium. RNAcentral describes it as "partial 16S ribosomal RNA". It matches the Rfam family "Bacterial small subunit ribosomal RNA", at positions 338 to 795 of the family's 1533-position model. The record is from RNAcentral.
CCUACGGGAGGCUGCAGUGGGGGAUAUUGCACAAUGGGGGAAACCCUGAUGCAGCGACGCCGCGUGGGUGAAGAAGUAUUUCGGUAUGUAAAGCCCUAUCAGCAGGGAAGAAAGAAGACGGUACCUGACUAAGAAGCCCCGGCUAACUACGUGCCAGCAGCCGCGGUAAUACGUAGGGGGCGAGCGUUAUCCGGAUUCACUGGGUGUAAAGGGAGCGUAGACGGCCGUGCAAGCCAGGAGUGAAAGCCCGGGGCCCAACCCCGGGACUGCUCUUGGAACUGUGCGGCUGGAGUGCGGGAGGGGCAGGCGGAAUUCCUGGUGUAGCGGUGAAAUGCGUAGAUAUCAGGAGGAACACCGGCGGCGAAGGCGGCCUGCUGGACCGCGACUGACGUUGAGGCUCGAAAGCGUGGGGAGCAAACAGGAUUAGAUACCCUGGUAGUC